UACGGAGGGUGCGAGCGUUAUUCGGAAUUACUGGGCGUAAAGCGCGUGUAGGCGGCAGGGCAAGUCUGGUGUGAAAGCCCGGGGCUCAACCCCGGAAGUGCAUUGGAAACUGCUCUGCUUGAGUACCGGAGAGGAAGGGGGAAUUCCCGGUGUAGCGGUGAAAUGCGUAGAUAUCGGGAGGAAUACCAGUGGCGAAGGCGCCCUUCUGGACGGUUACUGACGCUGAGAAGCGAAAGCUAGGGGAGCAAACAGG
RNAcentral lists this ribosomal RNA (253 nucleotides) under uncultured microorganism. Its description in RNAcentral is "partial 16S ribosomal RNA". It matches the Rfam family "Bacterial small subunit ribosomal RNA", at positions 524 to 776 of the family's 1533-position model. The record is from RNAcentral.